This 1541-nucleotide ribosomal RNA is filed under the name metagenome. RNAcentral describes it as "bacterial LSU rRNA". It matches the Rfam family "Bacterial large subunit ribosomal RNA", at positions 1399 to 2925 of the family's 2925-position model. The record is from RNAcentral.
AGACCGAAAGGUGUAAUCGAAAAAAACAGGUUAAUAUUCCUGUGCCUGAUAUGACUGCGAUGGGGUGACGGAGAAGGCUAGCUCAGCAGGCGUUGGUUGCCUGUUUAAGCAUGUAGGGAGUCGCUAGGUAAAUCCGGUGACUCAUAUCCUGAGAUGUGAUGACGAGACCUUUAUUGGUCGAAGUGAGUAACGCCCCGCUUCCAGGAAAAGCCUCUAAGCUUCAGGUCAUAUUGGACCGUACCGAAAACCGACACUGGUGGGCGGGUAGGUAAUCUACCAAGGCGCUUGAGAGAACUCUGGUUAAGGAACUCUGCAAAUUGAUACCGUAACUUCGGGAGAAGGUAUGCCUUCGAUGGUGAUUGGACUUGCUCCAUGAGCUAUUGAAGGUCGCAGGUAAUCGGUGGCUGCGACUGUUUAUCAAAAACACAGGACUCUGCGAACACGUAAGUGGAUGUAUAGGGUCUGACGCCUGCCCGGUGCCGGAAGGUUAAUUGAUGGGGUUAGCGCAAGCGAAGCUCUUGAUCGAAGCCCCGGUAAACGGCGGCCGUAACAAUAACGGUCCUAAGGUAGCGAAAUUCCUUGUCGGGUAAGUUCCGACCUGCACGAAUGGCGUAACGCUGGCCACACUGUCUCGACCAGAGACUCAGUGAAGUUGAAAUCGCUGUGAAGAUGCGGCGUUCCCGCGGAAAGACGGAAAGACCCCGUGAACCUUUACUACAGCUUUACACUGAACUUUGAACCUUCCUGUGUAGGAUAGGUGGGAGGCUUUGAAGCCUGGGCGCUAGCUCAGGUGGAGCCAAUCUUGAAAUACCACCCUGGAAUGUUCGGAGUUCUAACCUUGGUCCGUAAUCCGGAUUGGGGACAGUGUAUGGUGGGUAGUUUGACUGGGGCGGUCUCCUCCCAAAGAGUAACGGAGGAGUGCAAAGGUACGCUCAGCGCGGUCGGUCAUCGCGCUCUAGAGUGCAAAGGCAUAAGCGUGCUUAACUGUGAGACGGACAUGUCGAACAGGUACGAAAGUAGGUCUUAGUGAUCCGGUGGUUCUGUAUGGAAGGGCCAUCGCUCAACGGAUAAAAGGUACUCCGGGGAUAACAGGCUUAUUCCGCCCAAGAGUCCACAUCGACGGCGGAGUUUGGCACCUCGAUGUCGGCUCAUCACAUCCUGGGGCUGUAGCAGGUCCCAAGGGUAUGGCUGUUCGCCAUUUAAAGUGGUACGCGAGCUGGGUUCAGAACGUCGUGAGACAGAUCGGUCCCUAUCUUCCGUGGGCGUUGGAAACUUGAGGGUGAGCUGUCCUUAGUACGAGAGGACCGGGAUGGACGUAUCUCUGGUGUUCCGGUUGUCACGCCAGUGGCACUGCCGGGUAGCUAUAUACGGACGGGAUAAUCGCUGAAAGCAUCUAAGCGAGAAGCCCCCCCCAAGAUUAGGUUUCCCUGGGAGCUUGACUCCCCUAAAGGGCCGUCGAAGACUACGACGUUGAUAGGUUGGGUGUGUACAGGUAGUAAUAUCUUGAGCUAACCAAUACUAAUUGCCCGUGAGACUUGAUC